RNAcentral lists this ribosomal RNA (478 nucleotides) under uncultured bacterium. Its description in RNAcentral is "partial 16S ribosomal RNA". It matches the Rfam family "Bacterial small subunit ribosomal RNA", at positions 28 to 523 of the family's 1533-position model. The record is from RNAcentral.
GACGAACGCUGGCGGCGUGCUUAACACAUGCAAGUCGAACGGUAAGGCCCUUCGGGGUACACGAGUGGCGAACGGGUGAGUAACACGUGGGUGAUCUGCCCUGCACUUCGGGAUAAGCCUGGGAAACUGGGUCUAAUACCGGAUAGGACCCUGGGAUGCAUGUCCUGGGGUGGAAAGCUUUUGCGGUGUGGGAUGGGCCCGCGGCCUAUCAGCUUGCUGGGGGGGUGAUGGCCUACCAAGGCGACGACGGGUAGCCGGCCUGAGAGGGUGACCGGCCACACUGGGACUGAGAUACGGCCCAGACUCCUACGGGAGGCAGCAGUGGGGAAUAUUGCUCAAUGGGCGCAAGCCUGAUGCAGCGACGCCGCGUGAGGGAUGACGGCCUUCGGGUUGUAAACCUCUUUCAGCACCGACGAAGCGCAAGUGACGGUAGGUGCAGAAGAAGGACCGGCCAACUACGUGCCAGCAGCCGCAGUAA